UUCUUUCUUUUCUUUUUUUUUUUUUUNUUUUUUUUUACACUUUGUGUUUUGAGCUUGAUCCAGAGUUCAAAUGGGCCGGGUAUUACAUUAAUGGAUUAGGAAAAGGUGCAAUGCGAGAGGUUUUAACAGCAUAUGGAAGAAGGUAAAGGGACGUGGAUUUUUUCCAUAAAAAAAUGGAUGCCCGAGAUCGGCAUUCCUGUCGUGCGAAAGAUUUACCUUUCUUGGCACGCAUUCACCACUGGAUUGCUCACUACAUAAAUAGUUUUCCAGGAAGACGGGCAGUUUUCUCGGCUCCCUUUAGGAAACUUUUCUUUGCUACUCAUAAUGAUCCCAUACUUAUGAAUAAGGGAUAAUAACUCGUAUUUACAAACAAAUCC
Molecule: long non-coding RNA, 377 nt
Filed under: Elaeis guineensis (African oil palm)
Lineage: Eukaryota; Viridiplantae; Streptophyta; Magnoliopsida; Arecales; Arecaceae
Description: long non-coding RNA (EGUI_LNC030069)
Source: RNAcentral